GCAUCCUGUAGUUGAAAAUACAUCAUAAAAUUUAGUCUGGGAGAACCCAGUCAUGUGUUACUACUACUACAGCUAGGCAAACACUACUAAGUUUCAUCUAGUGGCUUAAAAAAAAAGGGAAAAGUACACUUUAAUGCUCUGUGCUUGUGCCUUUUUUUUAAAAAAACAUUUUUGCCAUGUUUUUUUCAUGACAAAUGGGUACUCUGUGCUUGUUGCCGUUUGUAGAUUCGGGAUAUUUUUGCCUUAUGGCAUUUCUUUUGGCUGUUGCGUCAAUUUUUUUCAAUUAAAAAAAUUCACCCUGUCAAAAUGUGAAUCAAUUGAAAUUUAAUAAAAAUAAAUAAAAAGCAGCAGCAAAAAUGGCAAGUCAUGCCCAUUUGUUGGACUGACAUGCAUCAGCUUACUCUGGCAACCAGCCAGUACCCUUCUUCCUCAAAAAGAAGAUUGUUCACUUCCCAUCAGAAUCCAUUGCAGAACUCAAAGCAAUUUCCUCUGCAUUUCAUAGAGAGGCGCAUAAAUAGAGAUUGAACCCACCUUUGUCUCCAAGCUACUUUGGAAACUGUAUUGAUGCACUUGGAGUUUCAACCACAGCUGAUGAGCCGCCAGACCACAAUCCCAAAUUCCUUAAUUUUCUUCCCUCACACAACCAUAUUGAGCUCAACCUCCCAUUACUUCCACUUCCACCAACGAUCUCUCAACUCCGACACCUGUAUAUUUUCAAUUACUCAUCUCCUUCACUAGGCCACUACCAUUCUCCUUUCUCCUUGCAGGUUCGCUUUGUGUGUGCUUGUUUGGUUGCAUAUCUCUUUUGCCUUGAGAAAUCAAAGAUUUUUUUUUUCUUCAGCAGUGAUGCUUCUAUUCUCAGUGAAAUUUCUUAGAUAGGCUUUCUUUAAUAUCACAAUCAAUAUAUUUGCUGCUGCAGAUUUUAGUGCCAAAAUCCUUCCUUUUCUCUCUUCUACUCCUUGUUUUCCUCUUCAUUUAUAGUUUAUAGCUUCAAAAACAAUCACAAAUUUCUUUUUCUUUCCUCAUUCAGAGCUGCUUUAAUUCAAUGAUAAGAAUAGAAUUAGUUAGAAGAGUCAACUAGUAUGUUGGAGGGAAAAGUUGUUAUGACGAUUACUGAGAUUGCAGUGGCCAUAUGGGUGGGAAUCUGAGUAUAAAGGAGCUGGAGAAGCUCUUUGUAAGGCAUU
This 1184-nucleotide unclassified non-coding RNA is filed under the name Hevea brasiliensis (rubber tree). Lineage: Eukaryota; Viridiplantae; Streptophyta; Magnoliopsida; Malpighiales; Euphorbiaceae. The record is from RNAcentral.